UUGUGUGCUAUCAUACCAAUAAUUUAAUUUUACAUGUCUGUUGUAAACGAGUUAAUAGUCGGGCACAAUAAAUGUUGAUCUCUUUCUUGGACUCGUGGCUUGGCACGAAUCAAGCAAAUCUUAUCACAGUGACCGACCCGUAGAAUCGCUGCCAAUGGAGGGAAUUUCAUUCAUAUACGUUAAAAUGAUACAUAUCCUAAAUUGCACAGCUAAAUGGUGGUAUAUCCCAAACUUUCUGAAAAUGAUAUAUAUUCAAGUAAGUAUGUGUUAGAACAG
RNAcentral lists this long non-coding RNA (276 nucleotides) under Hordeum vulgare. RNAcentral's name for it is "long non-coding RNA (HVUL_LNC017454)". Lineage: Eukaryota; Viridiplantae; Streptophyta; Magnoliopsida; Poales; Poaceae. The record is from RNAcentral.